RNAcentral lists this long non-coding RNA (1261 nucleotides) under Bos indicus x Bos taurus (hybrid cattle). RNAcentral's name for it is "lncRNA (ENSBIXG00005006960.1)". The record is from RNAcentral. Lineage: Eukaryota; Metazoa; Chordata; Mammalia; Artiodactyla; Bovidae.
GCCCUCAAAUGAAAGAAUGAGAGAAACACAUUGAAUACUUCUAUAAAUAGUAGAGGACACAUGAAGGUUUUGAUCUCCAGGCCACAAGUGACAUCCUAAAAUAUGAGCUCUAAGGGUUGAACUACUAGAUGAUUAGAUUCUCUCAAACAAAUGUUUUGAGAAUUACCACAGUAAUGAUGGAAACAGACAAAAGGGAAUUUUAAAAAAAUUAUUAUUUUUCUUAGCUUUGCUGUUUGCAGCCUGCAGAACUAGUCUGCAAGAAAUAAAAGAAAGCAAAAUAUUUAUUUAAAAAAAAACGAAAACAAAAACCUUGUACUCCGAAAAGUACUUUUCCGAACUGGUACUUACAUAGUUCAGAAGAUGAAGAAGAGAGGCAGAGAGAGGGAGAGAGGGAAGCUACAUUCUUAUAACUAUGUCUAUUGCAUGAUUUGCUUUAAAUUUAAAUAGUGUUUCAUUUUCUUCCUUCCUCAACAGGAAGGAAACUUCUUAAAACUGAAUAGUCAGCCAACUGCAUACAGUGUCACUGCAUACAAGUUUCGUAUUUUUAUAUAGUCUUUCAUCAAGUGUUCUGAGUCUGGGUGGCCCAAUAUAAAAUUGACUUGAUAUGUGGCUCAAAAUAGUUUAAUGUUUUGAAUCUGAAUAUGACCUACCAAAAACUGUCCAAAUGGAACGUUUUUAUUUUCCCAUAACACUUUUAUUUUCCAUGACAUUCCAUAUAAAAACACACUAAAUAAAGGAGAGCCUGGGAAAGUGAGCAUUACAUGUGCCACCAGACCGCUGACUUCCAGUCUCUGCCUUUUUCAUUACUCGGAAGCAUCAUACAAUGAACAUUUACACAGCUCUGCUCCCAGAACCUAAACAUGCCAAAUGAUUUUAUUUGUGUCUCAUCCCUGGAGUAAGAAAGACCAUGUAAUCAGAAACCGUUGGCGCCGGAAGAGACCCUCCCAAGGUCCUGAGGACCAGACUCUCAUUCCAAGUUUGCUUCUCUUUGGAAAGAUAGUACUGGAUUAUCUGAAACAGAAAAAAAUAAAAAGAUAAUUUUUAAGGAAAAAACGUAAGGUAAUGUCAAUGAAUUCUCAAAAAUGAGAUUUACCUUAUAGCUUCUAUAUUUUUAAACAAACAACAUCAUUUUUCCACAGGUACAAUCAUUAUUUGGAACUGUCACUAAAUUAUACCCUCCAAAAUCAGUGUUAAAUUUUAGAGCUUUGAAACAAUGCAUUUUGGUAUUGUUGCUUUAUUUUUCUCCCUGCAAAAAAAUGAC